AGUGAACGCUGGCGGUAGGCCUAACACAUGCAAGUCGAACGGCAGCACAGUAAGAGCUUGCUCUUACGGGUGGCGAGUGGCGGACGGGUGAGGAAUACAUCGGAAUCUACUUUUUCGUGGGGGAUAACGUAGGGAAACUUACGCUAAUACCGCAUACGACCUACGGGUGAAAGCAGGGGAUCUUCGGACCUUGCGCGAUUGAAUGAGCCGAUGUCGGAUUAGCUAGUUGGCGGGGUAAAGGCCCACCAAGGCGACGAUCCGUAGCUGGUCUGAGAGGAUGGGUCGGCAAACUGGAAAUGAGGCAACGGCCAGACUGCCAAGGGAGGGAGGCGGUGGGGAGUAUUGGCGAAGGGGGGAAGGCUGAAUCAGGCAGUCCCGCGGGGUGGAGGAGGGCCUCCGGGUGGUAAAGCCCUUUUGUGGGGAAGAAAAAGCGGCGGGUUAUUACCCGCUGUUCUGACGGUACCCAAAGAAUAAGCACCGGCUAACUUCGUG
RNAcentral lists this ribosomal RNA (492 nucleotides) under uncultured bacterium. Its description in RNAcentral is "partial 16S ribosomal RNA". It matches the Rfam family "Bacterial small subunit ribosomal RNA", at positions 30 to 507 of the family's 1533-position model. The record is from RNAcentral.